CACAUCCUUCCCUCCCCUUUUCUUCCUCUCUGUUUUAUUUUUUUCUUAUUAUUUAUUUACUUAUUUUUGGUACCAGGGAUUGAAUUCAGAGGUGCUUAACCACUGAGCCACAUCACCAGCCCUUUAUUGCUUUUUUAUUUUUUGAAACAGCAUCUGGCUAAGUUAUGAAGGGCCUCAUUAAGUUGUUGAGGCUGGGUUUGAAGUCACAGUCCUCCUGCCUCAGCCUCCACAGUUGCUGGGAUUACACGACAUGCACCACCAUGCCCAUCUCUUUUUCUAAAACCCUUUUCCAAUUAUCCUGGAUUACCUGCCAGGCUCAGUGUAGUUACAGGAGUUCUUGUGGGUAGUCAAGAGGGUCAGAGAAGAAGGGGGGGGUAGUCCCAGUGCACACUGGGCGUGGUGGUGCAUGCCUGAUUUGUAAUCACAGAUACUGGACUUGAGAGGCUGAGGCAGGAGGAUCACAAGUUCUAGGCCAGCCUCAGCAAUUUAGGAAAACACGGACCUUGGCUGUAACCCAGCGGCAGAGUGCUUGCCUUGAUUGAGUGAGGCAACUCAGUCCCCACUGCCAAAAAAAAAAAGAAUGUCCACACAGAAACUGCCAACCAUGUAGGGGGCAGGCAGCAGGGCCUGGCAUAGAUCAUAGAUCAUCACCUUUACUCAUUAACUCAUUUGUUUGCCAGAAUUCUUGGAAUGCAAAUUCAGUGCCAAAAAAGAACACUGCGUAAUGCUUGAGGGCUUUGGGUCCAGCCUGCCUGGGUUCUAAUGGGCUCUGUCUCUUACUAGCUGUGGGGCCUUGAGGGCAAGAGCCUCAGCUUCCCUUAUUCACUUUAUCUGCAAAAUGGGGUCAGCGAUGCGUUGUUGUGGGUCUGGGGUUGUGGCUUAGUGGCAGAGAGCUUGCCUAGCA
This 904-nucleotide long non-coding RNA is filed under the name Marmota monax (woodchuck). Lineage: Eukaryota; Metazoa; Chordata; Mammalia; Rodentia; Sciuridae. The record is from RNAcentral.